GAGGGUUCUGCUCUUAGUGGAGGCUAUUACUCUGUGCAAAGCCAGACAAGGCUCCUGUCUUUCUCUGUGUCACCCAGAAGAAGCUGAAGCAGAACAUCGCUCCCUGGGCUGAGAGGAGGAUGUGCCUGUGCCCCUGAUCCCUCCUUAGGACACUUCCUUAGGAAGGUCACAGCACACUUACCACCAGACCAUCACAGCAGAUGACACUUCUACUACAGGCACAAACUGCACAGUAUCAGCACAUUUAACAGCCCAGAGGAUCUUUUUCUCCAUGAAUUUCUCUUGUAUUUUAGGACUUUACAAGCAUCUCUGGCCCAGGAGAGAAUGGUAGUGUUUCAGAUUCCUCAAAUCAAAUGGAUGAAGUGACACCAAAGAUGUAUUUCCUGCAUGUUGACUACAUUCAAGUACAUCACAAAUGAUAUACUCUGAAAUAAGAAGGGCUUGCCAUUCUGCCAAGGCUGAGUGCAUUGAUUAUGUUAAUGCAGAAGGGAAGAAAGUUGCAGAUAUGGCACUGCAGAAAUGAUGCAUAAGGGAAAAAUCAAAUUCAUGGAGGUAAUACAAAGUUGAAGAAAUAGUGAGUUGAUCAUGGAAUGAUCCAGUCCAAUAAAUGUUUACAGAAUGAUAAAGUAUGAAAAGGUCUAUAGGAUGAUACCCAACAGUCUGUCACUUUCAAUGGAGUGUGGUGCCCCUGAACCUCUGUGUUAAAGAAUAAAUUAUGUCUCUGUGUAUUAGUGCAACUUUGAAAUUUGGUAGAAGGUACAUAAACAAGAUGCCACACCUCUUAUUUCCAAAACCAAGAAUUACAUAUAGGGGAGGAAGCUCUGCCAAAGGGUAAAGCCCUAGCAAGCAGCAGAAGUGCUUCAAAGAUACCACGUGAGAAUUCAGGCCAUCCCAUUUUAGAAAGAGAAAAAGCAAUCCAGCAUGGCUGAACAGAAAGGGUAGGGAAUGUUAAUAGAUGCAAGAACAUUCAAAAGCUGAAAAGAGAACAACCAGAAAAAUCAUAAAACUCCAUAUAAUACACAUGAAGAAGCAGAACAGGAAGGAGAUGAACUUCCAAAUGGCACCAGUACAAAGAAAGUCUUUUCCACACACAUCAGAAGCAGCAAGCCUGCUGGAGCAUCAGUAUGGCAAACAGAGGAUCAAGAUGCAUCAACAGUUUUAAAAAGAUAAGCCUUAGAAAAAAACCCAAAUGGAUUCAUUCCACCUGUGUACACAGUGAAGGAGUGAGUAUAGAGAGCUCACCAUGGCAGAACCUUGAUCGUAAUUGAUGUUUAAGGAAAAUCUGUCUGUAGUCAAGAUUUUUGUAGAAGUUUGUGGAAUAAAUAGACAGGAAGAGCAGUAACUACCAGAUCUGGCAGUAUUCCCAAAAGAUUUUAGAUGAAUUUCCAAGUGAAAGAACUGAGCUGCUAACUGAGCUGCUAAUAGUGUGUGAUGUUUCACUUAAGUCUUUGGUGCAGAAGGCUGGCAGUGAGAUCAUAUGAUACAAACUUUUAAAUGGCAUUCCAGGGAAUGAGUAUGGAUGUCAUGAAGAUGAAUAAUGAAAAUUUACUGAUACUCUCAAUACAAAGAUUAGUUAGGACAUGAAAUUAAACUACCAAGAUGCCUUUUUCACACAAUGCACAGAUUAUUAGACCCUUCCAGAGGAUGCUGGUUGCUAAAAAUUUGUACAGGAUAGAAAUUGAACUAAUUAGUGGAAGGAAAGCUCACAGAGGGUUAAGCACAAAGGUAUUACCACUGGCUUAGGAAACACUUUAAAUGCAAAUCACUGGAUUCUAGGAAAAUACUCAUCAAAGACCAACAGUCCCAUUUUAACACUCUUCUGUACAUAUUUGCUGUUUGCUGCUGUCAGAGACAACGUGUAGGAUUAGUAUGGAGUCCUGAUGGUGUUAGCUUUUAUGUUCCAAUGGUUUUAUGAAGCAAAUUAAUUUUUGCUAGCUGUUUGCAGGUAAUUAAUAGGAAGAGGGCAGAUUCCUUCUCCAGAAUCAUCCUCAAUAACCGGUAUCUGCACAGGAUUGGGAUUAGAAGUUACUCCCUGGAAGAUGAACAAAU
Passer domesticus (house sparrow) is the source of this 2049-nucleotide long non-coding RNA. RefSeq lists it as uncharacterized. Lineage: Eukaryota; Metazoa; Chordata; Aves; Passeriformes; Passeridae. The record is from RefSeq and is a predicted model, not a curated record. The transcript is spliced from 3 exons.